Molecule: long non-coding RNA, 683 nt
Filed under: Mytilus galloprovincialis (Mediterranean mussel)
Lineage: Eukaryota; Metazoa; Mollusca; Bivalvia; Mytilida; Mytilidae
Source: RNAcentral
UGGUCAGAAGGAAACCCAUUGCAUACAAGACAAUCCUAAAAAGAGAGUGGUGGGCAUACAAGAGCCUUUUAACAAGAACUGUUCGGGAUCGACACAUUGCUACUGGUUAUCGUGCGAUAAGACCAUUUCGGAGACCUUUGCUUACGAACAGACACACAGUUUUCCGUAUCGAAUGUAGUGCAGAGCUCGCCAAAGUUGGAAAUUAGCAUCGUGGAGGAAGAUCCAUUGUUUCAAUGGAAUUCGUUUCAUCUUCCUUGGCCCGAUCGUAGCCCGGAUUUGAACCAUAUCGAACGUAUAUGGGACACUAUUGGGCGGAAAGUGCGCGAAAGGACACCCCAGUUCAAACACAUCAUGAAAUAAACAAUGCCCUUCAUUAGAAAUGGUUGCUGCUACCUUAGCAACAAAUUAGUCGAUUUCUGGCAGGAAUCAGAAGACGUUUAGACGCGGUUAUCCGUUUGAAUAGAGGCUGCGCACAAAGUACUAAUUCUUUGGCGUAUAACGAUCAACCAUGAUGUGAACAGUCAUCUGAAGAUUAAUUUUGAAAUGUCUGACAUUGUAAAGUUCGACUACAGUAAAAGUUGUAAAAUGCAGUUUUUUGUACAAAAAACACUUCAUUUUGUUAUUAAAAUUGUGGUUAUAUAAAUCAUUUUUUUUCAAACAUUUUUUGUUCGUUUGAAUGCCAA